CACGAUCUGACUCCUAUAAGGGCCAUAUUCAAAAAGUGGUGAUUGCAUCCUUUGAAAGCCUGUUUGCAUAGCAGACAAUGAAGCUGAGCAGAGAAAAACAAGAUGAGAGACAGAUGGAGUAGGAGACCUGAGAAGAUGGCUUGAGUCCAUGAAUUCUGGUGUUCCCUAGGCCACAUUUGCCCCCAUCCUUCCCAGCAGACACUUGAAGAAGCAUCUUUCUUGUGAUCUCCUGGCUGGUACCCUGAAGUCCUGUUAUGCCAAUGGACCAGCAACCCUCGCAGGUAGGAAUUACUGCUAGAAAGACUAUCCUCUCUGCAGGCAAAUUUCUGGAAGGAUACUAUUUUAUGGGGAAAAAUGUGAACAACUGUAGGUAAUUUCACAGUCUGUAGGGCUUGUCUCCUAUUUGUAAUUUCUUACAUGUUUACUCGUGGUGGAAAUGUGGAGGUGGCUAAGGAACAAGCAGGCCCGCUGUGUUUCAGUGGCUUUCAGAGAAGGUGGCGGGAAAUAGUCUCUUCUCAGCAGCAGCUGAAUCCCAGUGUUAGCAGACGGAGCCUUGUUUCUUGAAAGUACAUUCCCAGGGAUUCCCUUGAAGAAUGUGAGAGAUCAGCUGGAAUGAAACUGGAUGUUUUAGGGUCCUGAGGGAAAUGUAAAUCCAGCAGCUUAUUCUCAAGAUGUGGCUCCAGAACCAGCAGCACUGAUUCUUCUAAAGAGUUGAGAGUGCAUUUUAGCUGUGAUAUCUUUGUACUCUUAAGAAAUCCUCCUCAACAAGACAAAACUUGACCAAGAGCAUUCAGUUGUCUUCCAGAAGGCUCCCUUGAGGACUGGGACUCUUCCUGGAUGCACCCAAUUAAUCUAUUGAAACAAGGACUCGUGAUGGCAGCCCCUCACCUGACAAACUGGAUUUUCCCCAGAGAUCAUUUGUAAUGUUUUUCCUGAAUCUUAUUUGUGUUUCCCUAUUAGCAAUGUUAUGUAUUUCUAUAUCGCAAAUCCUAAGUGCCGCCUGUAGAACCUAACCUCCAUUUAUAGCAUGGAACACACAGCCCAUCACGUAUCCUUGCCCUGGCCUUCAGCCUCUGAAUAUUUUAAUAAAAAUCACUCUUUCCUCCUUAAGGACCAUGUUCUUUAAAAGCUUAACACAUAGUUCUUAAUAAUUGGUUGCUUUACUUGAUGUUUCUCUGUUUAUCUUGGCUGCCCAGAAGCUCAGACUUAAAUGUAAGAGUCUACUUACAGUAACAACCUUGUUGCGGAUACAAUUAAUUCUCC
Molecule: long non-coding RNA, 1263 nt
Filed under: Homo sapiens (human)
Lineage: Eukaryota; Metazoa; Chordata; Mammalia; Primates; Hominidae
Description: HSALNT0030090
Source: RNAcentral